AGUGAACGCUGGCGGUAGGCCUAACACAUGCAAGUCGAACGGCAGCACAGUAAGAGCUUGCUCUUACGGGUGGCGAGUGGCGGACGGGUCAGGAAUACAUCGGACUCUACUUUUUCGUGGGGCAUAACGUAGGGAAACUUACGAUCAUACCGCAUACGACCUACGGGUGAAAGCAGUGGAUCUUCGCACCUUGCGCGGUUGAAUGCGCCGAUGUCGGUUUAGCUAGUUGGCGGGGUAAUGGCCCACCCAGGCGACGAUCCGUAGCUGGUCGGUGUGAAUGGUAGGCGACACUGGAACGGGGACGGGGUCCAGAGUCCUACGAGAGGCAGCAGUGGGGAAUAGUGGACAGAGGGCGGAAGCCUGGUCCAGCCAUACCGCGUGUGUGGAGAAGGCGUUCGGGUUGUAAAGCCCGUUUUUUGGGUAAGAAAAGCAGCAGGUUAAGACCACGCUGGUCUGACGGUACCCAAUGAAGAAGCACCGGCUAACUACGUG
This 492-nucleotide ribosomal RNA is filed under the name uncultured bacterium. Its description in RNAcentral is "partial 16S ribosomal RNA". It matches the Rfam family "Bacterial small subunit ribosomal RNA", at positions 29 to 507 of the family's 1533-position model. The record is from RNAcentral.